CUGAUUUGUCAAAACAAUUCAGAUAAAAAAAAAUAACAAAUUUUUAAAAUUUUAAUAAAAAUUUCUUAUUUCUUCAUAUAUUUUCAAAUGAAUAGGCUCUUCUAAAGAAUUAAUACUUUAUUUAGCAAUUCCAAUUCUAGAGACAAGAAAAAAGCCUUGGAUGUACUGAUGGACCAUAGCAGGUGAAUUGCUCCAACAAAAACACUAUAUUCAUUCCUGUUAUAUUGAUUGGGAGCAAAUUGGCACAAGGAAACCCACAACUAAAUGGAAGAGAACACUGAUACUGUGAAUGAGUGACUCCUAGCCGGACACAAUACGCAAGCUGCACGCCUCGGCAACCGAAUGUCUGCACAGUGCUUGGAUGCAUGGAACUCACUAUACGUAGACAAAAUGCUGGAGUAUCCAGCAUUCAACAGAGUUUUGGUCAUCGAGAGUACCUAUCACAUCAAUAUCCAUGAAGACGUCGAAAAAACCAUAAAAUUUUGUCGCUUAAGGUCAUGUGCGAGUCAUUUUUGCUGCUGAUGGUUUCCAUUGUGGAAACUCCACAAAAUUCUGUGAAGGGUCUAGAAGUGGUUCUGCUGUGUGUUAGACAUGACUUUUUUUUUGCAUUAAACUAAUCAUUUUCAAUAUGAGAAUGAUAACGCAGACUAUUUUUUGUAUAACAGUGAAACACACUUUUUUAUAUUAAGGACUUUCUGAAAAUUUAUUUUUAUUUUGCAUCUAUUGAAAAGUUUGUAUUAAAAUAAAAAAUAUACGUUCGAACAAAAAAGGAUAAUUUUAA
Molecule: long non-coding RNA, 781 nt
Organism: Episyrphus balteatus (marmalade hoverfly)
Lineage: Eukaryota; Metazoa; Arthropoda; Insecta; Diptera; Syrphidae
Exons: 2
Source: RefSeq, a predicted model, not a curated record